CGCUGGCGGCGUGCUUAACACAUGCAAGUCGAACGAGAGGAGAAGGAAGCUUGCUUCUUUCAAAUCUAGUGGCAAACGGGUGAGUAACACGUAAACAACCUGCCUUCAGGAUGGGGACAACAGACGGAAACGACUGCUAAUACCGAAUACGUUCCUUAGGUCGCAUGACUUUAGGAAGAAAGGGUGGCCUCUACUUGUAAGCUAUCGCCUGAAGAGGGGUUUGCGUCUGAUUAGGUAGUUGGUGAGGUAACGGCCCACCAAGCCGACGAUCAGUAGCCGGUCUGAGAGGAUGAACGGCCACACUGGAACUGAGACACGGUCCAGACUCCUACGGGAGGCAGCAGUGGGGAAUCUUCCGCAAUGGGCGAAAGCCUGACAGAGCAACGCCGCGUGAGUGAUGACGGCCUUCGGGUUGUAAAGCUCUGUGAUCGGGGACGAACGGUCAGCAGACGAAUACUCUGCUGAAGUGACGGUACCCGAAUAGCAAGCCACGGCUAACUACGUG
RNAcentral lists this ribosomal RNA (505 nucleotides) under uncultured bacterium. RNAcentral describes it as "bacterial SSU rRNA". It matches the Rfam family "Bacterial small subunit ribosomal RNA", at positions 34 to 507 of the family's 1533-position model. The record is from RNAcentral.